Molecule: ribosomal RNA, 458 nt
Filed under: uncultured bacterium
Lineage: Bacteria
Description: SSU rRNA
Rfam family: Bacterial small subunit ribosomal RNA
Source: RNAcentral
AGAAUCAACGCUGGCGGCGUGCCUAACACAUGCAAGUCGCACGAGAAAGGGGAGCAAUCCCUGAGUACAGUGGCGCACGGGUGAGUAACACGUGAAUAAUCUACCUCCGAGUGGGGAAUAACUGAGAGAAAUCUUAGCUAAUACCGCAUAACACUUAAGAGUCAAAGCAGCAAUGCGCUUGGAGAGGAGUUCGCGGCCGAUUAGUUAGUUGGCGGGGUAAUGGCCCACCAAGACGAUGAUCGGUAUCCGGCCUGAGAGGGCGCACGGACACACUGGAACUGAAACACGGUCCAGACUCCUACGGGAGGCAGCAGUGGGGAAUUUUGCGCAAUGGGGAAACCCUGACGCAGCAACGCCGCGUGGAGGAUGAAGCCCCUUGGGGUGUAAACUCCUUUCGAUCGGGAAGAUAAUGACGGUACCGAUAUAAGAAGCCCGGCUAACUUCGCGCCAGCAGCCGC